CAUAAAUUCUCUGUCACAAUUUGAGCUUGCUACAGCAAGAAAGUCUAACCUAUGCCAGUAUUCUCUUCCCCAUGAGGCAAGCUGUUAUAUAGGCUCAAAGAAA
Molecule: small nucleolar RNA, 103 nt
Filed under: Neotoma lepida (desert woodrat)
Lineage: Eukaryota; Metazoa; Chordata; Mammalia; Rodentia; Cricetidae
Description: Small nucleolar RNA SNORA28
Rfam family: Small nucleolar RNA SNORA28
About the family: ACA28 is a member of the H/ACA class of snoRNA that guide the sites of modification of uridines to pseudouridines.
Source: Rfam by way of RNAcentral